AGUGAACGCUGGCGGUAGGCCUAACACAUGCAAGUCGAACGGCAGCACAGGAGAGCUUGCUCUCUGGGUGGCGAGUGGCGGACGGGUGAGGAAUGCAUCGGAAUCUACUCUGUCGUGGGGGAUAACGUAGGGAAACUUACGCUAAUACCGCAUACGACCUACGGGUGAAAGCAGGGGACCUUCGGGCCUUGCGCGAUUGAAUGAGCCGAUGUCGGAUUAGCUAGUUGGCGGGGUAAAGGCCCACCAAGGCGACGAUCCGUAGCUGGUCUGAGAGGGUGAUCGUACACACUGGAACUGAGACACGGUCCAGACUCCUACGGGAGACAGCAGUGGGGAAUAUUGGACAACGGGCGCAAGCCUGAUCCAUCCAUACCGCGUGGGUGAAGAAGGCCUUCGGGUUGUAAAGCCCUUUUGUUGGGAAAGAAAUCCAGCUGGCUAAUACCCGGUUGGGAUGACGGUACCCAAAGAAUAAGCACCGGCUAACUUCGUGCCAGCCGCCGCCGUAA
This 506-nucleotide ribosomal RNA is filed under the name uncultured bacterium. RNAcentral's name for it is "partial 16S ribosomal RNA". It matches the Rfam family "Bacterial small subunit ribosomal RNA", at positions 29 to 523 of the family's 1533-position model. The record is from RNAcentral.